Molecule: ribosomal RNA, 484 nt
Filed under: uncultured bacterium
Lineage: Bacteria
Description: partial 16S ribosomal RNA
Rfam family: Bacterial small subunit ribosomal RNA
Source: RNAcentral
AUUGAACGCUGGCGGCAGGCCUAACACAUGCACGUCGAGCGGAUGAAGGGAGCUUGCUCCUGGAUUCAGCGGCGGACGGGUGAGUAAUGCCUAGGAAUCUGCCUGGUAGUGGGGGAUAACGUCCGGAAACGGGCGCUAAUACCGCAUACGUCCUGAGGGAGAAAGUGGGGGAUCUUCGGACCUCACGCUAUCAGAUGAGCCUAGGUCGGAUUAGCUAGUUGGUGGGGUAAAGGCCUACCAAGGCGACGAUCCGUAACUGGUCUGAGAGGAUGAUCAGUCACACUGGAACUGAGACACGGUCCAGACUCCUACGGGAGGCAGCAGUGGGGAAUAUUGGACGAUGGGCGAAAGCCUGAUCCAGCCAUGCCGCGUGUGUGAAGAAGGUCUUCGGAUUGUAAAGCACUUUAAGUUGGGAGGAAGGGCAGUAAGUUAAUACCUUGCUGUUUUGACGUUACCAACAGAAUAAGCACCGGCUAACUUCGUG